This 478-nucleotide ribosomal RNA is filed under the name uncultured bacterium. RNAcentral's name for it is "bacterial SSU rRNA". It matches the Rfam family "Bacterial small subunit ribosomal RNA", at positions 20 to 518 of the family's 1533-position model. The record is from RNAcentral.
UGGCUCAGGACGAACGCUGGCGGCGUGCUUCAUACAUGCAAGUCGAACGAGAAGUUACCUUCGGGUAAUGGAAAGUGGCGGACGGGUGAGUAAUAUGUAGGGAAUCUGCCCUAGAGCGGGGGACAACAGUUGGAAACGACUGCUAAUACCCCAUAUGCGCGUAGCUGAGAUGCUAUUCGUGAAAACUCCGGUGCUCUGGGAUGAGUCUGCAUCUGAUUAGCUAGUUGGCGGUGUAAUGGACCACCAAGGCGACGAUCAGUAGCUGGUUUGAGAGGAUGAUCAGCCACAAUGGGACUGAGACACGGCCCAUACUCCUACGGGAGGCAGCAGUGGGGAAUUUUGCGCAAUGGGCGAAAGCCUGACGCCAGCAACGCCGCGUGAUUGAAUAAGCCCUUCGGGGUGUAAAGAUCUGUCAGUGGGGACGAAACUUGACGGUACCCACAGAGGAAGCAUCGGCUAACUCCGUGCCAGCAGCGGC